RNAcentral lists this ribosomal RNA (315 nucleotides) under Clostridioides difficile. RNAcentral describes it as "bacterial SSU rRNA". It matches the Rfam family "Bacterial small subunit ribosomal RNA", at positions 651 to 966 of the family's 1533-position model. The record is from RNAcentral. Lineage: Bacteria; Bacillati; Bacillota; Clostridia; Peptostreptococcales; Peptostreptococcaceae.
GGAGAGGAGAGUGGAAUUCCUAGUGUAGCGGUGAAAUGCGUAGAUAUUAGGAGGAACACCAGUUGCGAAGGCGGCUCGCUGGACUGUAACUGACGCUGAGGCACGAAAGCGUGGGGAGCAAACAGGAGUAGAUACCCUGGUAGUCCACGCUGUAAACGAUGAGUACUAGGUGUCGGGGGUUACCCCCUUCGGUGCCGCAGCUAACGCAUUAAGUACUCCGCCUGGGAAGUACGCUCGCAAGAGUGAAACGCAAAGGAAUUGACGGGGACCCGCACAAGUAGCGGAGCAUGUGGUUUAAUUCGAAGCAACGCGAAG